This 436-nucleotide ribosomal RNA is filed under the name uncultured bacterium. Its description in RNAcentral is "partial 16S ribosomal RNA". It matches the Rfam family "Bacterial small subunit ribosomal RNA", at positions 29 to 507 of the family's 1533-position model. The record is from RNAcentral.
AACGAACGCUGGCGGCAUGCCUAACACAUGCAAGUCGAACGAGAUCCUUCGGGGUCUAGUGGCGCACGGGUGCGUAACGCGUGGGAAUCUGCCCUUAGGUUCGGAAUAACAGUUAGAAAUGACUGCUAAUACCGGAUGAUGACGUUAAGUCCAAAGAUUUCUCGCCUGAGGAUGAGCCCGCGUAGGAUUAGCUAGUUGGUGUGGUAAAGGCGCACCAAGGCGACGAUCCUUAGCUGGUCUGAGAGGAUGAUCAGCCACACUGGGACUGAGACACGGCCCAGACUCCUACGGGAGGCAGCAGUGGGGAAUAUUGGACAAUGGGCGCAAGCCUGAUCCAGCAAUGCCGCGUGAGUGAUGAAGGCCUUAGGGUUGUAAAGCUCUUUUACCCGGGAUGAUAAUGACAGUACCGGGAGAAUAAGCCCCGGCUAACUCCGUG